AUUGAACGCUGGCGGCAUGCUUUACACAUGCAAGUCGAACGGUAACAGGCCGCAAGGUGCUGACGAGUGGCGAACGGGUGAGUAAUGCAUCGGAACGUGCCCAGGCGUGGGGGAUAACUACUCGAAAGAGUAGCUAAUACCGCAUACGAUCUAUGGAUGAAAGCGGGGGACCGUAAGGCCUCGCGCGAUUGGAGCGGCCGAUGUCAGAUUAGGUAGUUGGUGGGGUAAAGGCUCACCAAGCCAACGAUCUGUAGCUGGUCUGAGAGGACGACCAGCCACACUGGGACUGAGACACGGCCCAGACUCCUACGGGAGGCAGCAGUGGGGAAUGUUGGACAAUGGGCGCAAGCCUGAUCCAGCAAUGCCGCGUGCAGGAAGAAGGCCUUCGGGUUGUAAACUGCUUUUGUACGGAACGAAACGGCUCUGGUUAAUACCCGGGGCUAAUGACGGUACCGUAAGAAUAAGCACCGGCUAACUACGUG
RNAcentral lists this ribosomal RNA (482 nucleotides) under uncultured bacterium. RNAcentral's name for it is "partial 16S ribosomal RNA". It matches the Rfam family "Bacterial small subunit ribosomal RNA", at positions 30 to 507 of the family's 1533-position model. The record is from RNAcentral.